Molecule: ribosomal RNA, 486 nt
Filed under: Triticum aestivum (bread wheat)
Lineage: Eukaryota; Viridiplantae; Streptophyta; Magnoliopsida; Poales; Poaceae
Description: partial small subunit ribosomal RNA
Source: RNAcentral
AUGAGUAUCUUAUGUUGGAACUAUCGCGGUGUAGGCAAACCCACGACAGUUCGAGAGCUUCGCGACAUGGUGAGGCAGUUUGCCCCCUCUAUACUAUGCAUUGUGGAAACUCAAAUAGAGGGUGAUAGAGUUGAAAAGCUUGUUGAUACUUUAGGUUUUAAUAAGAGUUUUGAUAUUAGUAGUUUCAGUAAAAGUGGUGGUAUUGGAGUUUUCUGGAACGAUUCAAUAAAGCUUGAGAUUGUUGGUUACUCCGAGUAUCAUGUCGAUGUUGAGGUCGACUCUUUUAAUUGUACCAAGGCCAGGUUUACUUUCAUCUAUGGAGAAGCUCAUGUCAGUGAGCGGUAUAAAACUUGGAACAUGCUAAGAGGCAUUGCGAGCUCGAGUCAAUUACCAUGGGUUGUCCUAGGUGACUUCAACAAAGUUUUGCAUGCCUAUGAGCAAGACAAAAUGGGAAAUAGAAGCCAAGCCCAGAUGGACACCUUCUGA